This 656-nucleotide ribosomal RNA is filed under the name uncultured fungus. RNAcentral's name for it is "eukaryotic LSU rRNA". It matches the Rfam family "Eukaryotic large subunit ribosomal RNA", at positions 24 to 664 of the family's 3401-position model. The record is from RNAcentral. Lineage: Eukaryota; Fungi.
CCCGCUGAACUUAAGCAUAUCAAUAAGCGGAGGAAAAGAAACUAACAAGGAUUCCCCUAGUAACUGCGAGUGAAGCGGGAAAAGCUCAAAUUUAAAAUCUGGUAGUCUUUGGCUGCCCGAGUUGUAAUCUAGAGAAGCGUUAUCCGUGCUGGACCGUGUAUAAGUCUCCUGGAAUGGAGCGUCAUAGAGGGUGAGAAUCCCGUCUUUGACACGGACUACCAGUGCUUUGUGAUGCGCUCUCAAAGAGUCGAGUUGUUUGGGAAUGCAGCUCUAAAUGGGUGGUAAAUUCCAUCUAAAGCUAAAUAUUGGCGAGAGACCGAUAGCGAACAAGUACCGUGAGGGAAAGAUGAAAAGAACUUUGGAAAGAGAGUUAAAUAGUACGUGAAAUUGUUGAAAGGGAAACGCUUGAAGUCAGUCGCGUUGAUCAGGGAUCAACCUUGCUUUUGCUUGGUGCACUUCCUGGUUUACGGGUCAGCAUCAAUUUUGACCGAUGGAAAAAGGUCAGGGGAAUGUGGCAUCUUCGGAUGUGUUAUAGCCUCUGAUUGUAUACAUUGGUUGGGAUUGAGGAACUCAGCACGCCGCAAGGCCGGGUUUUAACCACGUUCGUGCUUAGGAUGCUGGCAUAAUGGCUUUAAUCGACCCGUCUUGAAACACGG